AAAAUGUUAAAGGUUACAGGUUGUGGGUUUAUGGGGAAAAAGGUUACAGGGUUAUCAUAAGAAGGGAUGCGGUCUUUAAUGAGUCAUGUAUGCCAUGUUUGGAAGGGAAAAAGGGAAAUUUGACUGAAAAUGAUGUCUAAAUUGAGGUGGAGCCUAUUAAAAUAGAUAAUACCAGUUCUGUCCCCUUAGAAAUAGCAACUAAUGAGGCUGACCAGAAUGAAAAUAAGCCUGAUUUGGUCGAACCUGAUUUAUGUGAUGACAUAAAUAUACCUCUAGAUGAAUACCAGCUCACUAGAGAUAGGGAUAGGAGGCAAAUUAGACCACCGGCUAGGUUCAAUAGUGAUGACUUUGUGUCUUUGUUCACUUACCAAGAAGAAAUUGAAUAUGAACCUAGUUCCUAUCAUGAAGCCUUGAAAUCUAAAGAUUCUAAGCGGUGGUUGAGUGCUAUGGAAGAAGAAAUGUCUUCCUUAUAUAAGAAUGAAACUUGGGAAUUGGUUGACAAACCAAAGGAUAAGAAACUAGCUGAUUGCAAGUGGAUUUAUAAAAUAAAGGAAGGGAAAGG
Molecule: long non-coding RNA, 562 nt
Filed under: Olea europaea subsp. europaea
Lineage: Eukaryota; Viridiplantae; Streptophyta; Magnoliopsida; Lamiales; Oleaceae
Source: RNAcentral